Molecule: ribosomal RNA, 315 nt
Filed under: uncultured bacterium
Lineage: Bacteria
Description: partial 16S ribosomal RNA
Rfam family: Bacterial small subunit ribosomal RNA
Source: RNAcentral
UGUAUAAGAGACAGCAGUAGCCGCGGUAAUACGAAGGGUGCAAGCGUUACUCGGAAUUACUGGGCGUAAAGCGUGCGUAGGUGGUGGUUUAAGUCCGUUGUGAAAGCCCUGGGCUUAACCUGGGAAUUGCAGUGGAUACUGGGUCACUAGAGUGUGGUAGAGGAUAGUGGAAUUUCCGGUGUAGCAGUGAAAUGCGUAGAGAUCGGAAGGAACAUCUGUGGCGAAGGCGACUAUCUGGGCCAACACUGACACUGAGGCACGAAAGCGUGGGGAGCAAACAGGAUUAGAUACCCCGUAGUCCCUGUCUCUUAUACA